Molecule: ribosomal RNA, 497 nt
Filed under: uncultured bacterium
Lineage: Bacteria
Description: partial 16S ribosomal RNA
Rfam family: Bacterial small subunit ribosomal RNA
Source: RNAcentral
GACGAACGCUGGCGGCGUGCCUAAUACAUGCAAGUUGAGCGAUGAAGAUUGGUGCUUGCACCAAUUUGAAGAGCAGCGAACGGGUGAGUAACGCGUGGGGAAUCUGCCUUUGAGCGGGGGACAACAUUUGGAAACGAAUGCUAAUACCGCAUAACAACUUUAAACAUAAGUUUUAAGUUUGAAAGAUGCAAUUGCAUCACUCAAAGAUGAUCCCGCGUUGUAUUAGCUAGUUGGUGAGGUAAAGGCUCACCAAGGCGAUGAUACAUAGCCGACCUGAGAGGGUGAUCGGCCACAUUGGGACUGGGACACGGCCCAAACUCCUACGGGAGGCAGCAGUAGGGAAUCUUCGGCAAUGGACGAAAGUCUUACCGAGCAACGCCGCGUGAGUGAAGAAGGUUUUCGGAUCGUAAAACUCUGUUGGUAGAGAAGAACGUUAGUGAGAGUGGAAAGCUCAUCAAGUGACGGUAACUACCCAGAAAGGGACGGCUAACUACGUG